CUCCAAACAAAAUAAGAUUAAUCGAUCAUCAAGCAGAGGUGGGUCAGUCCAUACGUCUGGUCGUAUAGCUCACCAUGAUGUUGCACUUGAAUUGGCUAAAAAACUCAAGCGACCCGCACAUCCGGAUGAGCUCUUCAUUGCCACCCACAAAAAGAAGAAUGGGGAGUGGGUUGACGAGCGUGCAGCGAAAACACAUGAAACAUACGCGAGUAGUGUUACACAAGCC
Long non-coding RNA from Vicia villosa (hairy vetch), 226 nucleotides. RefSeq lists it as uncharacterized. Lineage: Eukaryota; Viridiplantae; Streptophyta; Magnoliopsida; Fabales; Fabaceae. The record is from RefSeq and is a predicted model, not a curated record. The transcript has 3 exons.